CUUUUACAAGUGAAAGUGAAAUUCUUUUUGUGAGCACCACAUGGAAAUUCACAGAGAGAAUGGAUGACUAUAUCUCUGGUUUCAGAGGGAGAGAGAAUGGAGGAAAGAGGACGGAGUGGGGGAGAGGAAGAGAGAGACUCUUAAGCAGGCUCCACACCCAGAGCAGAACUGGAUAUAAGAUUCAAUCUCAAAACCCUGAGAUCAUGACCUGCACCAAAACCUAGAGUUGGAGACAACCAAUGAGACAUCCAGGGAGCCUGAAAAUUCUUAAUAUCUCUAAAGGAAGAAGUACAA
RNAcentral lists this long non-coding RNA (294 nucleotides) under Mustela putorius furo (domestic ferret). RNAcentral describes it as "lncRNA (ENSMPUG00000031700.1)". Lineage: Eukaryota; Metazoa; Chordata; Mammalia; Carnivora; Mustelidae. The record is from RNAcentral.